Molecule: ribosomal RNA, 536 nt
Filed under: Bifidobacterium adolescentis
Lineage: Bacteria; Bacillati; Actinomycetota; Actinomycetes; Bifidobacteriales; Bifidobacteriaceae
Description: bacterial SSU rRNA
Rfam family: Bacterial small subunit ribosomal RNA
Source: RNAcentral
CGGGUGGUAAUGCCGGAUGCUCCAGUUGGAUGCAUGUCCUUCUGGGAAAGAUUCAUCGGUAUGGGAUGGGGUCGCGUCCUAUCAGCUUGAUGGCGGGGUAACGGCCCACCAUGGCUUCGACGGGUAGCCGGCCUGAGAGGGCGACCGGCCACAUUGGGACUGAGAUACGGCCCAGACUCCUACGGGAGGCAGCAGUGGGGAAUAUUGCACAAUGGGCGCAAGCCUGAUGCAGCGACGCCGCGUGCGGGAUGACGGCCUUCGGGUUGUAAACCGCUUUUGACUGGGAGCAAGCCCUUCGGGGUGAGUGUACCUUUCGAAUAAGCACCGGCUAACUACGUGCCAGCAGCCGCGGUAAUACGUAGGGUGCAAGCGUUAUCCGGAAUUAUUGGGCGUAAAGGGCUCGUAGGCGGUUCGUCGCGUCCGGUGUGAAAGUCCAUCGCUUAACGGUGGAUCCGCGCCGGGUACGGGCGGGCUUGAGUGCGGUAGGGGAGACUGGAAUUCCCGGUGUAACGGUGGAAUGUGUAGAUAUCGGAAAA